RNAcentral lists this transfer RNA (73 nucleotides) under Camelus bactrianus (Bactrian camel). It matches the Rfam family "tRNA". Rfam says of the family: Transfer RNA (tRNA) molecules are approximately 80 nucleotides in length. Their secondary structure includes four short double-helical elements and three loops (D, anti-codon, and T loops). Further hydrogen bonds mediate the characteristic L-shaped molecular structure. tRNAs have two regions of fundamental functional importance: the anti-codon, which is responsible for specific mRNA codon recognition, and the 3' end, to which the tRNAs corresponding amino acid is attached (by aminoacyl-tRNA synthetases). tRNAs cope with the degeneracy of the genetic code in two manners: having more than one tRNA (with a specific anti-codon) for a particular amino acid; and 'wobble' base-pairing, i.e. permitting non-standard base-pairing at the 3rd anti-codon position. Lineage: Eukaryota; Metazoa; Chordata; Mammalia; Artiodactyla; Camelidae. RNAcentral also lists the same sequence under 2 other names. The record is from Rfam by way of RNAcentral.
GAGGAUAUAGCUCAAGUGGUAAAGUUCAUGCUUAGCAUGCACAAGGUCCUGGGUUCAAUCCCCAGUACCUCCU